UACAGAGGUCUCAAGCGUUGUUCGGAUUCAUUGGGCGUAAAGGGUGUGUAGGUGGCGCGCUAAGUCGGGUGUGAAAUUUCGGAGCUUAACUCCGAAACUGCAUUCGAUACUGGCGUGCUUGAGGACUGGAGAGGAGACUGGAAUUCACGGUGUAGCAGUGAAAUGCGUAGAUAUCGGGAGGAACACCGGUGGCGAAGGCGGGUCUCUGGGCCGAUAUUGACGCUGAGGAGCGAAAGCGUGGGGAGCGAACAGG
Molecule: ribosomal RNA, 253 nt
Filed under: uncultured bacterium
Lineage: Bacteria
Description: partial 16S ribosomal RNA
Rfam family: Bacterial small subunit ribosomal RNA
Source: RNAcentral